UGUGGAUGAUUGUGUUACACUUGU
RNAcentral lists this non-coding RNA (24 nucleotides) under Arabidopsis thaliana (thale cress). Lineage: Eukaryota; Viridiplantae; Streptophyta; Magnoliopsida; Brassicales; Brassicaceae. The record is from RNAcentral.